GCCGGUGGUCAUGGCAGGCUGGAUCCACCCGAUCCCAUCCCGAACUCGGCCGUGAAACGGCCUUGCGCCGAUGGUACUGCAUCUUAAGGUGUGGGAGAGUAGGGCGCCGCCGGUU
RNAcentral lists this ribosomal RNA (115 nucleotides) under Phaeovibrio sulfidiphilus. Lineage: Bacteria; Pseudomonadati; Pseudomonadota; Alphaproteobacteria; Rhodospirillales; Rhodospirillaceae. The record is from RNAcentral.